CUUUUAGAGAUUGACAGAAGAAAGGGAGCACAUACUGCAAUUAUAUGAACACAUACCUUUGCCGUGCGUGCUCUCUUUUCUUGCUGUCAAUCUCGUAUUA
RNAcentral lists this microRNA precursor (100 nucleotides) under Glycine max (soybean). Its description in RNAcentral is "miR156t stem-loop (gma-MIR156t)". Its record names the gene gma-MIR156t. The record is from miRBase by way of RNAcentral. Lineage: Eukaryota; Viridiplantae; Streptophyta; Magnoliopsida; Fabales; Fabaceae.